Molecule: ribosomal RNA, 444 nt
Filed under: uncultured bacterium
Lineage: Bacteria
Description: bacterial SSU rRNA
Rfam family: Bacterial small subunit ribosomal RNA
Source: RNAcentral
GCAUAACGCGAAGAACCUUACCUAGGCUUGACAUGCACUGUGUCUACGGUGAAAGCCGUAUAGUGUAGCAAUACACGCUUUGCACAGGUGCUGCAUGGCUGUCGUCAGCUCGUGUCGUGAGAUGUUGGGUUAAGUCCCGCAACGAGCGCAAACCCCUGUGAUUUGUUGCCACCGGAGCAAUCCGAGCACUCGAAUCAGACUGCCCAGAUCAACUGGGAGGAAGGUGGGGAGUGACGUCAAGUCCGUAUGGCCCUUACGCUAGGGCUGCACACGUACUACAAUGCCCAGUACAAUGUGAACCGAGACCGCGAGGUGGAGGAAAUCAAUAAAACUAGGGCCCGAGUUCAGAUUGUAGGCUGCAACUCGCCUACAUGAAGUCGGAAUCGCUAGUAAUGGCGCAUCAGCAACGGCGCCGUGAAUACGUUCCCGGGUCUUGUACACACC